CCUUCUCUCUUUUCUGUUCUUUUCUCCUCUCUUCGUUCACUUUCUCUUUUUCUUUGUUCUUUCUCAUCUCCACAGAUAGCCUUCGAUUUCCUUCGAGCUCCAAUACUUUAGCAGUAAGGUGGAAUUCAACAUGUAUUUUUAGGGUUUUAAUUUCAAAAACAAACUACAGGUUUUUCAUGUCAAAUUUGACCAUGAAAACUCUAGAUCUAGAGUUUUCAUGGUCGAAUUUGACCUAUAAAACACAAAUUCAAGCUAAUUUCGGGGUUUUGGUGGAAUUCAAGGCGAAUCGUGAUGGGUGAGGUGGUUUUGGUGGGGGUCGAGAUGGGUGAGAUGGUUUUGGUGGGGGUCGUGAUGGGUGAAUUGAUGUUUCUUUAAUUCUGUGAUUGUUGUCAUGUAUUAUUACUCCGUAUUUGAUUUGAAUUUUAUAAUUUAUAAUUGAAAAUGUACCCUUUGAUUAAUUUUUUCUCAUUUUUUUGGAGUUAUUUGUUUUUUUGUUUGGUGUUGAUGAAUCUGGUGAUACGUAAAAGGGGGAUGUCCUGGUGUCUUGUUGGUGGUGCGCGUGGCUAAGGGUGGGUGUUUGUUGGUGCGCGUGGCUUAGGGUCGGUGGCGGCAGUGUGGCUGAAGUCUGGUGGUUGCACAAGAGCAGCAACAAUUUAAAUUAGAAUGUAUUUUUUUUUAUGAAGGUGUAAUAUUAAAACAAGUGAUUAAUGAAAAUAUUUAUGUUUAUACA
Long non-coding RNA from Chenopodium quinoa (quinoa), 730 nucleotides. RefSeq lists it as uncharacterized. The transcript is spliced from 2 exons. Lineage: Eukaryota; Viridiplantae; Streptophyta; Magnoliopsida; Caryophyllales; Amaranthaceae. The record is from RefSeq and is a predicted model, not a curated record.